RNAcentral lists this ribosomal RNA (465 nucleotides) under uncultured bacterium. RNAcentral describes it as "partial 16S ribosomal RNA". It matches the Rfam family "Bacterial small subunit ribosomal RNA", at positions 28 to 507 of the family's 1533-position model. The record is from RNAcentral.
GACGAACGCUGGCGGCGUGCUUAACACAUGCAAGUCGAACGGAAAGGCCCUGCUUGCAGGGUACUCGAGUGGCGAACGGGUGAGUAACACGUGGGUGAUCUGCCCUGCACUCCGGGAUAAGCCUGGGAAACUGGGUCUAAUACCGGAUAGGAGCCAUUUUUAGUGUGAUGGUUGGAAAGUUUUUUCGGUGUAGGAUGAGCUCGCGGCCUAUCAGCUUGUUGGUGGGGUAGUGGCCUACCAAGGCGGCGACGGGUAGCCGGCCUGAGAGGGUGGACGGCCACAUUGGGACUGAGAUACGGCCCAGACUCCUACGGGAGGCAGCAGUGGGGAAUAUUGCACAAUGGGCGCAAGCCUGAUGCAGCGACGCCGCGUGGGGGAUGACGGCCUUCGGGUUGUAAACUCCUUUCGCUAGGGACGAAGCUUUUUGUGACGGUACCUAGAUAAGAAGCACCGGCUAACUACGUG